RNAcentral lists this ribosomal RNA (1252 nucleotides) under Triticum aestivum (bread wheat). RNAcentral describes it as "partial small subunit ribosomal RNA". Lineage: Eukaryota; Viridiplantae; Streptophyta; Magnoliopsida; Poales; Poaceae. The record is from RNAcentral.
GAUAGUAGAAAUAAGAAAAUUGCAACAAAUAUAAAAAUGAAUUACAUGUCCAGAAUUCUUAAAUCUUGUAGUGCCUACAAAUGAGAAUAACAUUGUAUCUACUAUAAAACAAGAUUAAACAUGAGGUUGCUUAAAAUUAACCCAAAAAAAGUGUGUCAAAUGACAAAGUGACGAAACACACAUCACAUAACUCCUACUAUAGCAGCAGUAGUUCAGGCCAUAUAAACCCAUUGUAAUGUAGUGGACUAUGAAACAUGAAAAUACUUGAUAAACAAUGAGAUAAUAGAUAGGAAAGUGCAACUUGAAAUAAUCAUGCAUCGUUUAUAUUCAUUCAGGAUAUACAGAAAUGAUUUUCUAUCAUAAACCCAUUGAUUAUAUUAUCCGUGUUACUUCUGUGCAAGACGAUUCUAUACGCUGCCCACUUGACUAGCAUAGUACUAUUAUUUGUGACAGAAAAAAUAGUUAAAUGAAAUUAACCAGUAUAUAUUUAUACAUGGUGGCAGCAGUAGGAACAACCCUUGCUCCUACUUCACGAAUCAGACUACAAAUUUAGUCUGAUGCAAGUAUAUAUAGGUACGUUCAGACCAAAAAUUUGAAGUAGGAGCAAGUAUUGCACGAACCAGUAUAUAUUUAUACAAGGUGGCAGCAGUAGGAACAAGGCUUGCACGAAUCAGACUCAUACAUAGCUUAAGUAUUACUUCAUUUUAAUGAAGGUACAAGCCGAGUCAGAACACAUGCAGUAGCAAUCACGAAUAUAGAUACAGAUCCUGAAACCUUCUAGGACAUAAGCGAGAAGAUAAAUUGGAUUGUCUUUUUAAUAUCAAAUCAAGGUCUAGAAAUACAUAGAGAUAUUCAGUGGUGGACGUUGUGAAGACAAUAAUAUUUUUUUUACAUUUACAAAAUGAAUAAUCUGAUCCUGUUAGGUAGUUGUCAAGCAUAUCUUACCAUCAACGUUGUGUGCAUCUAGGCAUGCUAGUUGUGCUAUAUUUAUGCCAGCUAAUGCAUUGUAACUUCGACCAAUUUUUCCAACAUAACCCGUGUGCUCUCUGCUCUCUGUGCUAUUCUUAGUCCCUUUCACUUUCAGAAAUAUCAUAAUAAGUGAAAAUGGAUAUACAAUUGUUUGCCAACAUUCGGUUUGUUCACAACCAUGUUUGUAAGGCAACAAAAACAAAGAUGUAUUUUGUAUGCCCACAGUUUACCCAAGUUUUAGCAAUGAGAUGAAAGUUCCUCCCUGACAACAAGCUAAGGCCUU